RNAcentral lists this ribosomal RNA (315 nucleotides) under uncultured eukaryote. Its description in RNAcentral is "partial 18S ribosomal RNA". It matches the Rfam family "Eukaryotic small subunit ribosomal RNA", at positions 1470 to 1796 of the family's 1831-position model. The record is from RNAcentral.
CCCUUAGACGUUCUGGGCCGCACGCGCGCUACACUGACCAGUGCAACAAGCAUCCGUCCUUGGCCGACAGGCCCGGGCAAUCUUUGAACGCUGGUCGUGAUGGGGAUAGACUUUUGCAAUUUUUGGUCUUCAACGAGGAAUUCCUAGUAAACGCAAGUCAUCAACUUGCAUUGAUUACGUCCCUGCCCUUUGUACACACCGCCCGUCGCACCUACCGAUUGAAUGGUCCGGUGAAGCCUCCGGAUUGGCGCUCACCUCGGUGCCGCCGAGAAGUUGGCUAAACCUUACCAUUUAGAGGAAGGUGAAGUCGUAACA